CGGCGAUGAUGACACAACGCGU
This 22-nucleotide unclassified non-coding RNA is filed under the name Chlamydomonas reinhardtii. Its description in RNAcentral is "small RNA Cre_1317". Lineage: Eukaryota; Viridiplantae; Chlorophyta; Chlorophyceae; Chlamydomonadales; Chlamydomonadaceae. The record is from RNAcentral.